GUGUUUGCUUUAGCAGCACAUUUACUUAAAUCGGAACAAUACAGGAAAGAUUAGCAUAGCCCCCGUAUGAGGAUAACAAUUAAGUUUGUGAAGCAUUCCACAUUUUU
Molecule: small nuclear RNA, 107 nt
Organism: Sarcophilus harrisii (Tasmanian devil)
Lineage: Eukaryota; Metazoa; Chordata; Mammalia; Dasyuromorphia; Dasyuridae
Source: Ensembl